GACGAACGCUGGCGGCGUGGAUUAGGCAUGCAAGUCGGACGGUAGGGCUUUAUCGUAAGAUAGAGUUUGAGAGUGGCGAACGGGUGAGUAACACGUAGGAAUCUACCCUUAAGACGGGGACAACCCAGGGAAACUUGGGCUAAUACCGGAUGAGAGUGCGAGAGAUUGCAUUUAAAAGGAUGGCGAAAGUUGUCGCUUAGGGAUGAGCCUGCGGUCUAUUAGUUAGUUGGUGAGGUAAGAGCUCACCAAGGCGAUGAUAGAUAGGCGGCCUUAACGGGUGGUCGCCCACACUGGGAUUGAGAUACGGCCCAGACUCCUACGGGAGGCAGCAGUCGAGAAUAGUCUACAAUGGCCGGAAGGCUGAUAGUGCGACGCCGCGUGAACGAGGGAGCCCUUCGGGUGUAAAGUUCUUUUCUAUACGAGCAGUGCUAUAUAUAGUAGUAGUAGUAUAUAGUAGGAGGAUAGUAGUAAGUAAGUAAAUAACGACGAACGGACUAACCGUCGUCGCGACGACGCC
This 517-nucleotide ribosomal RNA is filed under the name uncultured bacterium. RNAcentral's name for it is "bacterial SSU rRNA". It matches the Rfam family "Bacterial small subunit ribosomal RNA", at positions 28 to 529 of the family's 1533-position model. The record is from RNAcentral.